GUGGGGAAUACUGGACAAUGGGCGAAAGCCUGAUCCAGCCAUGCCGCGUGUGUGAAGAAGGUCUUCGGAUUGUAAAGCACUUUAAGUUGGGAGGAAGGGCAGUAAGUUAAUACCUUGCUGUUUUGACGUUACCGACAGAAUAAGCACCGGCUAACUUCGUGCCAGCAGCCGCGGUAAUACGAAGGGUGCAAGCGUUAAUCGGAAUUACUGGGCGUAAAGCGCGCGUAGGUGGUUUUGUAAGUUGGAGGUGAAAUCCCCGGGCUCAACCUGGGAACUGCCUCCAAAACUGCAUGACUAGAGUACGGUAGAGGGUAGUGGAAUUUCCUGUGUAGCGGUGAAAUGCGUAGAUAUAGGAAGGAACACCAGUGGCGAAGGCGACUACCUGGACUGAUACUGACACUGAGGUGCGAAAGCGUGGGGAGCAAACAGGAUUAGAUACCCUAGUAGUCC
Molecule: ribosomal RNA, 450 nt
Filed under: uncultured bacterium
Lineage: Bacteria
Description: bacterial SSU rRNA
Rfam family: Bacterial small subunit ribosomal RNA
Source: RNAcentral